Molecule: ribosomal RNA, 468 nt
Filed under: uncultured bacterium
Lineage: Bacteria
Description: partial 16S ribosomal RNA
Rfam family: Bacterial small subunit ribosomal RNA
Source: RNAcentral
GACGAACGCUGGCGGCGUGCUUAACACAUGCAAGUCGAACGGAAAGGCCCUGCUUUUGUGGGGUGCUCGAGUGGCGAACGGGUGAGUAACACGUGAGUAACCUGCCCUUGACUUUGGGAUAACUUCAGGAAACUGGGGCUAAUACCGGAUAGGAGCUCCUGCUGCAUGGUGGGGGUUGGAAAGUUUCGGCGGUUGGGGAUGGACUCGCGGCUUAUCAGCUUGUUGGUGGGGUAGUGGCUUACCAAGGCUUUGACGGGUAGCCGGCAUGAGAGGGUGACCGGCGACAUUGGGACUGAGAUACGGCCCAGAGGCCAACGGGAGGCAGCAGUGGGGAAUAUUGCACAAUGGGCGGAAGCCUGAUGCAGAAACGCCGCGUGCGGGAUGACGGCCUUCGGGUUGUAAACCGCUUUCGCCUGUGACGAAGCGUGAGUGACGGUAAUGGGUAAAGAAGCACCGGCUAACUACGUG